This is a non-coding RNA of Microcebus murinus (gray mouse lemur), 3853 nucleotides long. Lineage: Eukaryota; Metazoa; Chordata; Mammalia; Primates; Cheirogaleidae. The record is from RefSeq and is a predicted model, not a curated record.
AAUCCUGUCUCUUCCACCUCCAGAGGACACGGCCUUGGUUAAGUCACUCUCCUGAGCCUCUCUGGGUCUCGCUUCCUCACUGACAACAGGGGAUGGCACUAGCGUCCCGUGCUGGGGCUGGGCGUGGCUGCGGGGAGUGACGCUAUGUGAGGCUGAUGCACAGGCCUAGCACACAGGGUCAGCAGCCUCAGCUCUGAUGGCUUGUAAAGGGAGCAGUGACUAUAACACUGUCCAACUUCCCUCUCACCACCUGACCAGGGAAAGCCUGACGGCAGGUAGGGGAUUUGAGCUGCGCACGUGGGCUCGGGUAGGCAGGGAGGGGAGGAAGGCCCUCCCGUGGCUGUAGGCCAACGUGGAGGCCUCUGGGCGUGGGGUGUGCCCAGGUGGGGGUGGAAGAACACCUCAGAGGCCCCCCUUGCAAUUUCCGCAGAAAGCAGAGGUUGGACUAGGUAGAUUUUAGUGCCUGGGAUGCUUUGCUUGGGAGCUCGAGGCAUGACUUUUCUUUUUGCCCUUCCUGGUCCCCCUGUCUACCUCACUCUCUUCCGUGGCUUGUGGAUGCUUGGAUUGUGGCUUCUGGUCAUAAAUGAUGAGAGAGAGAAUUGUGCCGCUUGCCUGGCUCUCCCUGGACAAUUGGCAAGUGCCCAAGACAACCUCAGGGUAUAGGAGCUGCUCUGCAGCGAGGUGAACUGCCUUUGUUACCAGGUUGUGGAAUUGCCAGCAGUUGACUACUUUGGAUGACUUGGUCAAUCUAAUAAGUGUGGCUCUGGAGUCUCGAUGACUUUUCUUUCUCUCCAGUGAGAGUGAAGUUCUGUCUCCCACACCACACUCUCCUCACUAAGGAAUUAAAGCUACUUUACACCUCUGAUAUGAGGAAAGCGUUUCCCACGGCGCACACGCUCGGUGAGGACUCCGUGUGCAUCGGCCGCCGUUACCUCCAUUUCCUGAGAGCGUAGCGAAAGUCCUGCCAUCGUCCCCGUUGUCAGAUGUGGAAAAUCGCACGUGAUGCUUUGGACCCGAGCUGCGCAGCUGCAGACCAGCGCCGCGGUCUGGCGUCGUCCGCAGCGCCACACUCUGCCUUGGGCCUCAUCGCUUCUCGGAGCCGCAAGUCUGGGAACUGUCAGAGAGGGGCUCUCCCAUCUUUGAUGGUGGCUCCUUACAAAGUCCACGUGAGCACAUAAGAAGCUUUCUGUGUUUCUCAUGUUUCUCUGUUGCUUUUGCUGAGAAAAGGGUGACUGGAGGACGUGAGCCUCCCUGGCUGGGGCCGCCCUCCCCCCUCCACACUUAGGACGCUUUUCCUCAGCGGUCUCCCUGUCUGUGUCCUCUGCCCCCAGGGACUGUCAGCAUUGAGACAGUUAGAUCAUUGCUUCUCCCAGGUUUUUAUUUUUAAUGAAUGCCAACAGGGGCUAUGGGAGACCAUGGUGAACUAUAGAAGGCGUUCUCAGACUAUAGGCCCUCUGAUUAACUUUUUAAAAAGGUGUUACAGAGGUCAGUCAAAACAAAAACCCAAACAAGCCGUGCAUCCGAGGGCUCUGAUUGCAGGGCAUGGAGAGGCAGCAGCAGAAGCCUGCUUCCCUCCUGCCUUUGUGUUCGAGUGUGGGGCUCUCAGAGCACCUGCUUCCUGGAGGCCUAAACAACGGCUGUGGUCCGCCAGAGCGUAGCAGCCGCCACUCCUCAGAGUCCUGCGCCGUCUCCCUCUCUGUGGGGCCUGCCCCGUUCAGGGUGGAGCACGGUGCCUUUGACGUGUGUGUCAUAUACAUGUUAGGGGGCUGCAGUGGCUCCUCCAUCCCUGCACCGACUCCCUGCACGCUGACCCAGCUGCCAUCGUCCGAGUGCAGGGUGUCCGUGCCUGACGGCACACGCACCGCCCGACCCUCCGCCGGGGUCAGAGCCAUUCUGUAAAAAUGCAGACUCGACCCGCUCCUCAUCCCACCUGCCUCCUGCCAGGAUGCUUAGUCCAAACACAGAGGAAGAAUGCUGCGACCUUUCCAAUGCGGCCCCUCUGCCCCAGGUUGCCUGUGGGCUCUUUUGCUUUAAUUGUGGUAAAAUACACAUAAUGUAAAACUUACCAUUUUAACUAUUUUUAAGUGUAGCAUUCAAUGGCAUUAAGUGCACUCCUGUUGUUGUGCAGCCAUCACCACCAUUCAUCUCUAGAACUUUCUCCUCUUCCUAAACUGAAGCUCUGUCCCCAUUGAAACAGACUCCCUGCCCCCUGCCCAGCCCCUGGCACCUGCCUUUCUACCUCCUGUCUGUGACAACUCUAGGGACUGCAUGAGUGAAUCAUAGAAUGUCUGUCGUUCUGUGACUAUUUCACUCAGCACAACAUCCUCAAAGUUUAUCCAGGUUGUAGCAGGUGUCAGAGUUUCCUUUCUCAGGCUGAGUGAUAUUCCCGUGUGGAUAGACCACGCUUUGCCUGUCCUUUCAUCUGUCAGUGGGCACUUGGCCUGCUUCUCCCCUCGGCGGUUGUGAACACUGCAGCUGUGAACGUGGGCGUGCAAACAUCUGUGGGAGUCCCUGCCGGCUGGGUCUUGGAGGCACCGUCCGCCUCUGACCGUGCUGUCCCGUGUGCGGCCCCUGCCAUGACACGUGGGCCCAGCCUGCCAGCUCCUGCGUGCCCUGCCAAGGCCCAGGGCAAGGGUCUCUCCCCCAGGACCCCUGCGCCCCCAGGCUGAGAGUGGGCCCUUCCUCCAAGUCCCCUGCACAUGGUGCACCUUGGCCCCCACCCUCGCACCCUCCACACUGUUGAAACCGGGUGCGCCUGCAGCUUCCCUGCCCAGCUGCAAGUCACUUAGGCCGGGACGAGGCUGAACCUUUUGUGACCCCACAAACAAGCGUAUGCACUGAUCAGUGACAAGAGAAUCAGGUACUGUGGACGGUGUGGUGAGGACUCAUCUCCAAACCCAUUCUAACCUUCAGUUUCACCUCGUCCCUCUUCCUCAACGUCCACCCUCUUCCCUGCCAAGCCCCAACGUCACUAACCCCUCCUUUGUUCAGGGGGCACUGCCGGUUGCUGCCUCUCCUGACCGCAGCGCCUGCCCGUGUCCAGACGCCCUGUGGGAGGAGGGCUGCGGCCACCGACUCGGCAGGGCAGCUCCCUUGUCCUGGAAUCAUGACCAGUGGCCUUUGUUUCAGGAAUCCUGUGCUUUUAUUUUCAUACGAUGAAAGGUGACACUAUUCACAAUGGAAAAAAUAUGGCAAAAUAAAUAACAGAAACCACUUUUCAUUGACUUCCCAGGUCAUGUCCCCUGACCUCAGGUCUCGGUGGUCAGCCCUGGGCUAACUGCUGAUGGCGUGGAGAGAUUAACCUCACAGUCUCGUUGAUUUCCUUAUUCGUCAAUUUCCUUGGUUUUAUGUUUCGAGUUUGCUGUGACCUGCAGCUUGGCCCCUCCAGAGAACAGCUCCAAUUUGUCACGGGCCAACCCAGAUGCCCAGGGGAGAGGUAGUCGCAGGUCAGCAUCUUUGGGGACAGCAGUCUGACAGUCCAGACAAACAGAAAUAUUUAUUUGACUGACACUCGCUGGGAGGCCCCCAUCCGCCUACAAAUCCUGCCGUCUCACACAAAAACGGUAUCUGCCACACCACAGCUGGAAGGACAUUGCCAAAGCUUAUAAGAAACCCCCUUGAUGGUUAACAACGGCCCUAUGGUCACCACCCCCACCCUCCCCCACCCACCCCUGAAAGCAAAUGGCAUGAACUGUGUUCUUCCUUCUGUGUGUCUGAGGCGGUAGCUAAGGUUACAUAUUAAAUGGCCUCCUUGGUACCCAUUUUAUAAUAAACCAUUUAGCGACUAGAAAGGCUGCAUGUUUGUGCUGGGCAGUUAUUUGUUUCACUGAGAUUAAAGAACUCUGAACUUUCA